UCAGCUGUCAUGAUGCCUUCUUGAAGCUCUACAAAGAAGACGUGAUGGCAUCUGGCC
This 57-nucleotide microRNA precursor is filed under the name Lingula anatina. RNAcentral describes it as "Lan-Mir-1989-P1_pre stem-loop". The record is from RNAcentral. Lineage: Eukaryota; Metazoa; Brachiopoda; Lingulata; Lingulida; Lingulidae.